RNAcentral lists this ribosomal RNA (659 nucleotides) under Nocardioides sp. PDD-7b-7. Its description in RNAcentral is "bacterial SSU rRNA". It matches the Rfam family "Bacterial small subunit ribosomal RNA", at positions 56 to 731 of the family's 1533-position model. Lineage: Bacteria; Bacillati; Actinomycetota; Actinomycetes; Propionibacteriales; Nocardioidaceae. The record is from RNAcentral.
UGCAAGUCGAGCGGAAAGGCCACUUCGGUGGUACUCGAGCGGCGAACGGGUGAGUAACACGUGAGUAAUCUGCCCUCCACUUUGGGAUAGCCACCGGAAACGGUGAUUAAUACCGGAUAUGACCUCGCAUCGCAUGGUGUGUGGUGGAAAGUUUUUCGGUGGGGGAUGUGCUCGCGGCCUAUCAGCUUGAUGGUGGGGUAAUGGCCUACCAUGGCUUCGACGGGUAGCCGGCCUGAGAGGGUGACCGGCCACACUGGGACUGAGACACGGCCCAGACUCCUACGGGAGGCAGCAGUGGGGAAUAUUGGACAAUGGGCGGAAGCCUGAUCCAGCAACGCCGCGUGAGGGAUGACGGCCUUCGGGUUGUAAACCUCUUUCAGCACAGACGAAGCGAAAGUGACGGUAUGUGCAGAAGAAGCACCGGCCAACUACGUGCCAGCAGCCGCGGUAAUACGUAGGGUGCGAGCGUUGUCCGGAAUUAUUGGGCGUAAAGGGCUCGUAGGCGGUUUGUCGCGUCGGGAGUGAAAACACACAGCUUAACUGUGUGCUGGCUUCCGAUACGGGCAGACUAGAGGUAUGCAGGGGAGAACGGAAUUCCUGGUGUAGCGGUGAAAUGCGCAGAUAUCAGGAGGAACACCGGUGGCGAAGGCGGUUCUCUG